RNAcentral lists this long non-coding RNA (2605 nucleotides) under Centruroides sculpturatus (bark scorpion). RNAcentral describes it as "uncharacterized LOC111614611". Lineage: Eukaryota; Metazoa; Arthropoda; Arachnida; Scorpiones; Buthidae. The record is from RNAcentral.
AUGGCAUGUCACGGGGUACACUAAUGAAAAAAGGUUGGGAACCACUGCCAUAGAUGAUGCCCUGAAGAGUGGUUUGAGAAGGAUGUAAUUGUUCAAAUGUGAUGAAGAGGCAAAUGUACAAUGUUGUCUUUUUUGGACAAAUAUGUUGGGGUCUUGUGCCACUGUUAAGUUUAGCCUGAGCAAAUUUUGUUUUCCAGUUUUAGUAUUGUAAAUACUGAGGUCCAUAGAUGUACAUUUUUAUUUACUAAGACCAUUGUUUUUAUCACCUUCUCCCAACUCCAUCUCACCAAUCCCCUGUUCAAAAGCCUGAGCAGUUCCAGGCAUAUUCAUGGUAAUGAUAUAAGUCGCAUGAUUUUUAUAAAAAAGAAAUUAAUAUUAUAAUUAAUUUUUUUGAAGGCUUAUUAUUUCUUUGUAAGUGACAUUUAUUUCUAUUAUCUAAUUUUUUUAAAAAUAGUUUUUUGUUAAUGCAGUUGAACUUUGUUGUGCUCAAAGCUGCUUGUCCUAUUCAAUUGUACUUCUUAAGUCUCAAAACUCAAGUGUAGGACUUAACAUGCAGGAUGAGUGUUUAAAAGAGAAUCACAAAAUUAAUCACUUUGAAUUGUUGUCUAGAAUAUAUUUUGGGUCUAAAUUCUCUUCAGUUGUUGACUACUACUACUAUACUCAGGGCCAGUUAUUUUUAAUAAAGUCACAAGACAAAAUAUAUUUUUAAUUUAAUAUUAACUAAUGGGGGUGCUUUUGACAGUGCUGGCUGUUGAUGUGUUUUUUUACGUCUUACUGUUAUGGUCUACAAUUCAGCUGUUUGCCAUUAAUUGAGUUUACUGAGGAUGUUGUUUUCUACUGUAAUACUUUAUUUUUUAAUUUUGUUCUUUUUACUUAUUAUUGGAGGGGUUGAAUUUAAUCCAGGCCUAAUGUCUUAUCCCCAUAAUAAAGCUUAGAUUUCUACUGAGAAAUGUCGUCAAUUGCCAAACGAACCAACAUUGAAAUUGUCUUGACUGGACGAUUAUUUUGCAUCGCAGGAUAUUUCUCCUCAAAUACCUCAGAAGAUUCUGAGGAAUGUUUUGAUACUAUUUUAUCGAAACUGGAAGAAUUGUCAAUGUUCGACCAGUUGUCUAAUUUGUGUAAGGAGUAUGAAGAAUGACUAACAUUCCUGGAAGGAGAAGUUAAUGAACUUUCAACUUUUAGAACUGUAUGUAUGGAUAAUUUUUCUCUUCAGACUCUGUAUACAACAAUUUGAAGGAAAAUAACAUUAUCAUUUCUGGUUUGAGUAGUAGUGAUUAAAGAAUUAAUAAUGCUGACUGCUUUAUUGAGUUGUUUAAAAGACAGAAUGGGGAGUCUAUUCCUUUUAUUAACAGUUAUCCAAUAUCAGUAACUCUGCUUGUAUUGUUUGAGCUCUAUACUCAAGCUAACAAAAGACUUAUUUGUAAAAAUUUAAAGAAAAUUCAGGAGUAGCCAUCCUACUCAUGCAUUAGAGUUUUUGAUGAUUUGUUGUAUAGAUCAGGACUAAUGUUUAAAUAUUUAAAAAUUUGGAACACAGCUGUAUUCUACGGUUAGUACUUUUUAAAUGAUAGAACUGUUUUUUUUUUUUGUGUGUUUCAUACAUUUCUGAGGAGGGCUUCUAAAAGACAGCCAAAAACGUUUGAACAUUACAAUUUUUGUUCAUUCAAUGCUGGAAUUAGCAUUUAGGUGUUAAUUGUUGUGUCUGCUUUUAUUGAUCUCAAGAAGGCUUUUGAUACAGUCAAUCAUGAUUUGUUAUGGUAUAAGCUUAGGAAUAUAGGUUUUUUUGCAUUUUUUUUUUGUUAAUUUACUUAAGAGUCUUUUCUCUAAUACAAGAUAUCUUAUAGAGAUUUUUUCAUUUUGUAUUGAUUAUGUUGAGUCCAAUAGUGUGUUACCUCAAGGAGAACCAUUGAGUCCUAUCUUUUUAUUUUGUUUUUGAAUGAUUUUCCUGACCUUCUGAGAAGUCAAAGCUCUAUGAUAGCAUUGUCUUCUUGUGUUGAAAUUAACUGUCUUUAUGCUGAUGAUGUCCUUCUCUUGGCUAAUUCAACUUCUGUACUUAGGGGAAGACUCAAUCUUAGGCCAGGAACACACAUGCGUAAAAUUCGGCGUAAAAUCUAGCAUAAAACAGAAAACGUAAAAAUUUUUCUGAAAUUUUGGCUGAAACAAAACUGAAAAUAGAGUAGAGCAUGUCUCUACUUUUUACGCCGAAACAUUUUUACGCCAAAAUUCCUCCAAUAAAGAGAAGUCUUUCCUGUGACGUCGAAGUAGACACGUGGUUUUUAUUCUAACAAUGGCGGCAAUGAGGGUUAACCCUACAAUUGUGAUGGUCUCGAAAAAACGAAAAAUAAAUGAAAUAGAGGAGUUUAUUGAAUCCGUUCGACCAAAUCAGUGUCAUGUAUAAAGACACUGUAUUUAAACAACGUUUAUGGAUGGCUACAGGUGUUAAAUUUCAAAUAACAGCAGAGGAAGUGUAGAAAAAAUGGAAGGUACAAAGGAAUAGAUAGCCUAUAUGAGAGGAAAAAAUUAAUAAAAUUAGUACUGUUGGUGGCAGUGGUGUUUUCUAUUCGGCCAGAAUUUUUACGUAUGUGUGUUCUGGCAUAAAAGCGUAAAA